This 771-nucleotide ribosomal RNA is filed under the name uncultured bacterium. Its description in RNAcentral is "bacterial SSU rRNA". It matches the Rfam family "Bacterial small subunit ribosomal RNA", at positions 8 to 771 of the family's 1533-position model. The record is from RNAcentral.
AGAGUUUGAUCCUGGCUCAGGAUGAACGCUGGCGGCAUGCCUAAUACAUGCAAGUCGAACGAGGAUCCUUCGGGAUCCUAGUGGCGAACGGGUGAGUAACACGUAGGGAACCUGCCCGCGCACCGGGAAUACGCUCUGGAAACGGAGAACAAAUCCCGAUGUACAGGAAGGAGGCAUCUUCUUUCUGUGAAACAUCCUGUAAGGGAUGGGGCGCGGAUGGACCUGCGGUGCAUUAGUUAGUUGGCGAGGGUAAAGGCCCACCAAGACGAUGAUGCAUAGCCGGCCUGAGAGGGCGGACGGCCACAUUGGGACUGAGACACGGCCCAGACUCCUGCGGGAGGCAGCAGUAGGGAAUUUUCGUCAAUGGGCGCAAGCCUGAACGAGCGAUGCCGCGUGAGUGGAGAAGGCCUUCGGGUCGUAAAGCUCUGUUGCGGGGGAAAAAAGGCAUCUGCAGGAAAUGGUAGAUGACAGAUGGUGCCCCGCCAGAAAGUCACGGCUAACUACGUGCCAGCAGCCGCGGUAAUACGUAGGUGGCGAGCGUUAUCCGGAAUGAUUGGGCGUAAAGGGUGCGCAGGCGGUCCUGCAAGUCUGGAGUGAAACGUAUGAGCUCAACUCAUGCAUGGCUCUGGAAACUGGAGGACUGGAGAGCAGGAGAGGGCGGUGGAACUCCAUGUGUAGCGGUAAAAUGCGUAGAUAUAUGGAAGAACACCAGUGGCGAAGGCGGCCGCCUGGCCUGUUGCUGACGCUGAGGCAUGAAAGCGUGGGGAGCAA